This 269-nucleotide ribosomal RNA is filed under the name uncultured prokaryote. RNAcentral's name for it is "partial 16S ribosomal RNA". It matches the Rfam family "Bacterial small subunit ribosomal RNA", at positions 524 to 792 of the family's 1533-position model. The record is from RNAcentral.
UACGUAGGGGGCAAGCGUUAUCCGGAUUUACUGGGCGUAAAGAGGACGUAGGCGGCCUUUCAAGUCGGAUGUGAAAUCUCCCGGCUCAACUGGGAGGGUGCAUUCGAUACUGAUGGGCUGGAGUGCAGCAGAGGAAAGCGGAAUUCCCGGUGUAGUGGUGAAAUGCGUAGAUAUCGGGAAGAACACUAGUGGCGAAGGCGGCUUUCUGGGCUGUUACUGACGCUGAGGUCCGAAGGCGUGGGGAGCGAACAGGAUUAGAUACCCCCGUA